UACGAAGGGGGCUAGCGUUGCUCGGAAUCACUGGGCGUAAAGGGUGCGUAGGCGGGUCUUUAAGUCAGAGGUGAAAUCCUGGAGCUCAACUCCAGAACUGCCUUUGAUACUGAGGGUCUUGAGUAUGACAGAGGUGAGUGGAACUGCGAGUGUAGAGGUGAAAUUCGUAGAUAUUCGCAGGAACACCAGUGGCGAAGGCGGCUCACUGGGUCAUUACUGACGCUGAGGCACGAAAGCGUGGGGAGCAAACAGG
RNAcentral lists this ribosomal RNA (253 nucleotides) under uncultured bacterium. RNAcentral's name for it is "partial 16S ribosomal RNA". It matches the Rfam family "Bacterial small subunit ribosomal RNA", at positions 524 to 776 of the family's 1533-position model. The record is from RNAcentral.